GUGCUCAUUUUGACAGCACAUAGACUAAAAUUAGAAUGAUACAGAAAUGGCCCCUGUGCAAGGAUAAAAUACAAAUUUAUGAAGCAUUACAUAUUUUU
RNAcentral lists this small nuclear RNA (98 nucleotides) under Dasypus novemcinctus (nine-banded armadillo). The record is from RNAcentral. Lineage: Eukaryota; Metazoa; Chordata; Mammalia; Cingulata; Dasypodidae.